This 513-nucleotide ribosomal RNA is filed under the name uncultured bacterium. RNAcentral's name for it is "partial 16S ribosomal RNA". It matches the Rfam family "Bacterial small subunit ribosomal RNA", at positions 28 to 507 of the family's 1533-position model. The record is from RNAcentral.
GACGAACGCUGGCGGCGUGCUUAACACAUGCAAGUCGAACGAGAGCGUAGAGAACGCUUGCUUUUUCUACAAUCUAGUGGCAAACGGGGGAGUAACGCGUAAACAUCCUGCCCUACGGAUGGGGACAACAGCUGGAAACGGCUGCUAAUAGCGAAUACGUGCCGAAAGUCGCAGAACGAUCGGAAGAAAGGAUGGCCUCUAUGUAGAAGCUAUCGCCGGAGGAGGGGCUUGCGGCUGAUUAGCUAGCUGGAUGGGUAAGGGCCGGCCAAGGCGACGAUUAGUAGGCGGCCGGCGUGGGUGGGCGGCCACACUGGCUCGGAGACACGGUCCGGACUCCCACGGGAGGGAGCCGUGGGGGGUCUUCCGCGCUGGGUGGAAGCCUGACGGAGCCACGCCGCGUGAGUGAGGACGGCCUUCGGGUUGUAAAGCUCUGUUUUUCGCGACGAAUAAUCUUGUGGUUAAUACCCAUGAGAAUUGACGGUACCGUAAGAGAAAGCCACGGCUAACUACGUG